RNAcentral lists this non-coding RNA (45 nucleotides) under Schistosoma margrebowiei. The record is from RNAcentral. Lineage: Eukaryota; Metazoa; Platyhelminthes; Trematoda; Strigeidida; Schistosomatidae.
AUCCAGCUGACGAGUCCUAAACAGGAUGAAAAGCGAGUCCUAGAU